RNAcentral lists this ribosomal RNA (559 nucleotides) under uncultured Pseudomonadota bacterium. RNAcentral's name for it is "bacterial SSU rRNA". It matches the Rfam family "Bacterial small subunit ribosomal RNA", at positions 56 to 616 of the family's 1533-position model. The record is from RNAcentral. Lineage: Bacteria; Pseudomonadati; Pseudomonadota.
UGCAGUCGUACGAAGAAAAAUUAUGCUUGCAUAAUUUUAUACUUAGUGGCGGACGGGUGAGUAACACGUAAGAACCUACCUUUUGGCGAGGGACAACCACUGGAAACGGUGGCUAAUACCUCAUAUUGCUGAGAAGUGAAAGAUGAAUAAUCACCAAAAGAUGGUCUUGCGUCUGAUUAGCUAGUUGGUGAGGUAAUAGCUUACCAAGGCGAUGAUCAGUAGCUGGUCUGAGAGGACGAUCAGCCACACUGGGACUGAGACACGGCCCAGACUCCUACGGGAGGCAGCAGUGGGGAAUUUUGGACAAUGGGCGAAAGCCUGAUCCAGCAAUGCCGCGUGUGCGAAGAAGGCCUUCGGGUUGUAAAGCACUUCUGUCAGGGAAGAAAUCUUUUAGGCUAAUACCCUGGAAGGAUGACGGUACCUGAAGAAUAAGCACCGGCUAACUACGUGCCAGCAGCCGCGGUAAUACGUAGGGUGCAAGCGUUAAUCGGAAUUACUGGGCGUAAAGCGUGCGCAGGCGGUUUGUUAAGACAGUCGUGAAAUCCCCGGGCUUAACCUG